AGUGAACGCUGGCGGUAGGCCUAACACAUGCAAGUCGAACGGCAACACAGUAAGAUUUCGCCCUUAAGGGUGGCGAGUGGCGGAUGGGUGACGAAUAGAUCGGAUUCCUCUUUUACGUGGGUGAUUUCGUAGCGCGACUGACGCUACCACCGCAUAUGACCUACGGGUGAAAGCAGCGGUUAAUCGGACCUUGUGCGAUUCAAUGAGCCGGUGUCGGAUUAGCUAGUUGGCUUGGUAAAGGUCUACCAAGGCAACGAUCCGUAACUGAUCUGAGAGGAUGAUCAGCCACACUGGAACUAAGACACGGUCCAGAAUCCUAAGGGAGGCAGCAGUAGGGAAUCUUCGACGAUGGGCGAAAGCCUGACAGAGCCAUGCCGCGUGGGUGAUGAAGGCCUUCGGGUUGUAAAGCCCUUUUAUUGGGAAAGAAAAGCUGCGGGUUAAAACCGCCCUGUUCUGACGGUACCCAAAGACUAAGCCCCGGCUAACUUCGUG
This 492-nucleotide ribosomal RNA is filed under the name uncultured bacterium. RNAcentral describes it as "partial 16S ribosomal RNA". It matches the Rfam family "Bacterial small subunit ribosomal RNA", at positions 29 to 507 of the family's 1533-position model. The record is from RNAcentral.